This 646-nucleotide ribosomal RNA is filed under the name Salmonella enterica subsp. enterica serovar Indiana. Its description in RNAcentral is "partial 23S ribosomal RNA". It matches the Rfam family "Bacterial large subunit ribosomal RNA", at positions 711 to 1269 of the family's 2925-position model. Lineage: Bacteria; Pseudomonadati; Pseudomonadota; Gammaproteobacteria; Enterobacterales; Enterobacteriaceae. The record is from RNAcentral.
AGACCCGAAACCCGGUGAUCUAGCCAUGGGCAGGUUGAAGGUUGGGUAACACUAACUGGAGGACCGAACCGACUAAUGUUGAAAAAUUAGCGGAUGACCUGUGGCUGGGGGUGAAAGGCCAAUCAAACCGGGAGAUAGCUGGUUCUCCCCGAAAGCUAUUUAGGUAGCGCCUCGUGAAUUCAUCUCCGGGGGUAGAGCACUGUUUCGGCUAGGGGGCCAUCCCGGCUUACCAACCCGAUGCAAACUGCGAAUACCGGAGAAUGUUAUCACGGGAGACACACGGCGGGUGCUAACGUCCGUCGUGAAGAGGGAAACAACCCAGACCGCCAGCUAAGGUCCCAAAGUCAUGGUUAAGUGGGAAACGAUGUGGGAAGGCCCAGACAGCCAGGAUGUUGGCUUAGAAGCAGCCAUCAUUUAAAGAAAGCGUAAUAGCUCACUGGUCGAGUCGGCCUGCGCGGAAGAUGUAACGGGGCUAAACCAUGCACCGAAGCUGCGGCAGCGAACGUAUCACCCAAGACAACUUUGCGGAGUUGACGAUUGACGGAGCGAAGCGACGUCAAAGCGUUCAUUAAAGUCGAGUUGGCUUAGGGAUACGUUCGUUGGGUAGGGGAGCGUUCUGUAAGCCUGUGAAGGUGUGCUGUGAGGC